UGCCUAAUACAUGCAAGUCGUGCGGCAGCGAGUCUCUCACUGUCUGCUUGAUUUUAUAUCGAGCAAAGAGUGAGAGAUGUCGGCGAGCGGCGGACGGCUGAGUAACGCGUAGGAAUCUACCCCAAAGUGAGGGAUAACUCCGGGAAACCGGAGCUAAUACCGCAUGUGGUCCUCGGAUUAAAGGAUUUAUCCGCUUUGGGAAGAGCCUGCGUUCGAUUAGCUAGUUGGUGAGGUAAUAGCUCACCAAGGCGACGAUCGAUAGCUGGUCUGAGAGGAUGAUCAGCCAGACUGGAACUGAGACACGGUCCAGACUCCUACGGGAGGCAGCAGUAAGGAAUAUUUCACAAUGGGCGAAAGCCUGAUGAAGCAACGCCGCGUGCAGGAUUAAGGCCCUCGGGUCGUAAACUGC
This 409-nucleotide ribosomal RNA is filed under the name uncultured organism. Its description in RNAcentral is "bacterial SSU rRNA". It matches the Rfam family "Bacterial small subunit ribosomal RNA", at positions 45 to 433 of the family's 1533-position model. The record is from RNAcentral.